RNAcentral lists this ribosomal RNA (499 nucleotides) under uncultured bacterium. RNAcentral describes it as "partial 16S ribosomal RNA". It matches the Rfam family "Bacterial small subunit ribosomal RNA", at positions 30 to 523 of the family's 1533-position model. The record is from RNAcentral.
AUUGAACGCUGGCGGAAUGCUUUACACAUGCAAGUCGAACGGCAGCACGGACUUCGGUCUGGUGGCGAGUGGCGAACGGGUGAGUAAUGUAUCGGAACGUGCCCAGUCGUGGGGGAUAACGUAGUGAAAAUUACGCUAAUACCGCAUACGAUCUAUGGAUGAAAGCGGGGGACCGUAAGGCCUCGCCCGAUUGGAGCGGCCGAUAUCAGAUUAGGUAGUUGGUGGGGAAAAGGCUCACCAAGCCGACGAUCUGUGGCUGGUCUGAGAGGACGACCAGCCACACUGGAACUGAGACACGGUCCAGACUCCUACGGGAGGCAGCAGUGGGGAAUUUUGGACAAUGGGCGCAAGCCUGAUCCAGCCAUUCCGCGUGCAGGAUGAAGGCCCUCGGGUUGUAAACUGCUUUUGUACGGAACGAAAAGGCUCUGGUUAAUACCUGGGGUCAUGACGGUACCGUAAGAAUAAGCACCGGCUAACUACGUGCCAGCCGCCGCGGUAA